AAGCAUGCUUCAAUACAAAGCUCUGUAUACAAAGUCUGCAUCUUGUUACAAAGCCCCGUAUGCAAACUCUGCAUCUUGUCCUGCUUUUAGCGUGCCUCAUACUGAAUAAUUCGGCGAGUGCGUUUCUUGUAGAGAAUACGGUAACCGCACUCUCUGCACUGAAUGACAUCUCCAGGCUUCAAGGUGUUCUCCAUGCCACAAUCUCCACAGAUGUAGCUGACUGGCUCAGGUUGAGGAUCCAUGAGUUCAACACUAGGUUUAAUUCGAGAGAGAAUGAGAGAAAUAUAAUGAAGACUCGUUUUCAGAGCCUGGCCGGCUUAGGUUUAGAAUUUG
Molecule: unclassified non-coding RNA, 333 nt
Filed under: Hevea brasiliensis (rubber tree)
Lineage: Eukaryota; Viridiplantae; Streptophyta; Magnoliopsida; Malpighiales; Euphorbiaceae
Source: RNAcentral